AUUGAACGCUGGCGGCAGGCCUAACACAUGCAAGUCGAACGGUAACAGGAAACAGCUUGCUGUUUCGCUGACGAGUGGCGGACGGGUGAGUAAUGUCUGGGAAACUGCCUGAUGGAGGGGGAUAACUACUGGAAACGGUAGCUAAUACCGCAUAACGUCGCAAGACCAAAGAGGGGGACCUUCGGGCCUCUUGCCAUCGGAUGUGCCCAGAUGGGAUUAGCUAGUAGGUGGGGUAACGGCUCACCUAGGCGACGAUCCCUAGCUGGUCUGAGGGGAUGACCAGCCACACUGGAACUGAGACACGGUCCAGACUCCUACGGGAGUCAGCAGUGGGGAAUAUUGCACAAUGGGCGCAAGCCUGAUGCAGCCAUGCCGCGUGUAUGAAGAAGGCCUUCGGGUUGUAAAGUACUUUCAGCGGGGAGGAAGGGAGUAAAGUUAAUACCUUUGCUCAUUGACGUUACCCGCAGAAGAAGCACCGGCUAACUCCGUGCCAGCCGCCGCCGUAA
RNAcentral lists this ribosomal RNA (506 nucleotides) under uncultured bacterium. RNAcentral's name for it is "partial 16S ribosomal RNA". It matches the Rfam family "Bacterial small subunit ribosomal RNA", at positions 30 to 523 of the family's 1533-position model. The record is from RNAcentral.